GUAACAGAGGAGCUUGCUCUUGCUGACGACCGGCGCACGGGUGCGUAACGCGUAUACAAUCUGCCUUACACUAAGGGAUAGCCCAGAGAAAUUUGGAUUAACACCUUAUAGUUUAUUUUUAUGGCAUCAUUUAAAUAAUAAAGUUUACGGUGUAAGAUGAGUAUGCGUCCCAUUAGUUUGUUGGUAAGGUAACGGCUUACCAAGACUACGAUGGGUAGGGGCCCUGAGAGGGGGAUCCCCCACACUGGUACUGAGACACGGACCAGACUCCUACGGGAGGCAGCAGUGAGGAAUAUUGGACAAUGGAGGAGACUCUGAUCCAGCCAUGCCGCGUGCAGGAAGACGGUCCUAUGGAUUGUAAACUGCUUUUAUACAGGAAGAAUAAGGACUACGUGUAGUCUGGUGACGGUACUGUAAGAAUAAGGACCGGCUAACUCCGUGCCAGCAGCCGCGGUAAUACGGAGGGUCCGAGCGUUAUCCGGAAUUAUUGGGUUUAAAGGGUCCGUAGGCGGGCUGUUAAGUCAGGGGUGAAAGUUUGCAGCUCAACUGUAGAAUUGCCUUUGAUACUGAUGGUCUUGAAUUAUUGUGAAGUGGUUAGAAUAUGUAGUGUAGCGGUGAAAUGCAUAGAUAUUACAUAGAAUACCGAUUGCGAAGGCAGAUCACUAACAAUUGAUUGACGCUGAUGGACGAAAGCGUGGGUAGCGAACAGGAUUAGAUACCCUGGUAGUCCACGCCGUAAACGAUGGAUACUAGCUGUUUGGAUUUCGAUCUGAGCGGCCAAGCGAAAGUGAUAAGUAUCCCACCUGGGGAGUACGUUCGCAAGAAUGAAACUCAA
RNAcentral lists this ribosomal RNA (835 nucleotides) under Cellulophaga sp. TBL_17. RNAcentral's name for it is "bacterial SSU rRNA". It matches the Rfam family "Bacterial small subunit ribosomal RNA", at positions 69 to 904 of the family's 1533-position model. Lineage: Bacteria; Pseudomonadati; Bacteroidota; Flavobacteriia; Flavobacteriales; Flavobacteriaceae. The record is from RNAcentral.